RNAcentral lists this ribosomal RNA (446 nucleotides) under uncultured bacterium. Its description in RNAcentral is "partial 16S ribosomal RNA". The record is from RNAcentral.
GCCCGAAUUACCGCGGCUGCUGUAUCGCUACAUGCUCUCGGAACUGUUGCGCGUCUUCUUUCUAACGCUGGUGGUACUGGUAACGGUGAUUGCGUUCGGCGCGACGAUCAAGCCGCUGACGAGCGAUCACCUGCUGACGGUUGUGGACAUCAUCAAAUAUCUGUGCAUGGCCAUGGUGCCGAUGCUGCAGUUCGCCCUGCCCUUCGCCGCCGGUUUCGCGUCGACCCUCGUGCUGCAUCGCAUGACGAGCGACAACGAGAUUCUCGUAGCCGCGGUGAGCGGGAUCAGCUAUCGACGUCUGCUCGCCCCGAUCGCGGCAUUCGGCAUCGUGCUGUCGAUCAUCAUGGUCGGCCUCACCCAGUAUGCCAUCCCACAAUUCUGGAACUUGAUGGAGCGGACGAUCACCACCGAUGUGACGAAGCUGUUCCAGGCGUCGAUUGAUCGCG